UAAGGAAUAUUGGUCAAUGGACGGAAGUCUGAACCAGCCAUGCCGCGUGCAGGAAGACGGCCCUACGGGUUGUAAACUGCUUUUGUACUGGAAUAAACCUCUUUACGUGUAAGGAGCUGAAUGUACAGUAAGAAUAAGGAUCGGCUAACUCCGUGCCAGCAGCCGCGGUAAUACGGAGGAUCCAAGCGUUAUCCGGAUUUAUUGGGUUUAAAGGGUGCGUAGGCGGCCUAUUAAGUCAGGGGUGAAAGACGGUAGCUCAACUAUCGCAGUGCCUUUGAUACUGAUAGGCUUGAAUGCAGCUGAGGUAGGCGGAAUGUGACAAGUAGCGGUGAAAUGCAUAGAUAUGUCACAGAACACCGAUUGCGAAGGCAGCUUACUAAAGUGCGAUUGACGCUGAGGCACGAAAGCGUGGGGAUCAAACA
RNAcentral lists this ribosomal RNA (422 nucleotides) under uncultured Mucilaginibacter sp. RNAcentral's name for it is "bacterial SSU rRNA". It matches the Rfam family "Bacterial small subunit ribosomal RNA", at positions 355 to 774 of the family's 1533-position model. Lineage: Bacteria; Pseudomonadati; Bacteroidota; Sphingobacteriia; Sphingobacteriales; Sphingobacteriaceae. The record is from RNAcentral.